RNAcentral lists this ribosomal RNA (1321 nucleotides) under human gut metagenome. RNAcentral's name for it is "bacterial SSU rRNA". It matches the Rfam family "Bacterial small subunit ribosomal RNA". The record is from RNAcentral.
UUCAUUUCGGAUUAGUGGCAGACGGGUGAGUAACGCGUGAGCAACCUACCUCUUACAAAGGGAUAGCCUCGGGAAACCGGGAUUAAUACCAUAUAACAUUGCGACGAAGCAUUUCGAUGCAAUCAAAGCUACGGCGGUAAGAGAUGGGCUCGCGUCCCAUUAACCGGAUGGUGAGGUAACGGCUCACCAUAGUGACGAUGGGUAACCGGCCUGAGAGGGUGAACGGUCACACUGGAACUGAGACACGGUCCAGACUCCUACGGGAGGCAGCAGUGGGGAAUAUUGCACAAUGGAGGGAACUCUGAUGCAGCGACGCCGCGUGAGUGAUGAAGGAAUUCGUUUCGUAAAACUCUGUUCUAUGGGAAGAAAAGGACUGUACCAUAGGAGAAAGCUCCGGCUAAAUACGUGCCAGCAGCCGCGGUAAUACGUAUGGAGCGAGCGUUGUCCGGAAUUAUUGGGCGUAAAGGGUGCGCAGGCGGCUUUACAAGUUGGAUGUGAAAUAUUGUGGCUCAACCACAAACGUGCAUCCAAAACUGCAAAGCUUGAGUUAAGGAGAGGUAAGUGGAAUUCCUGGUGUAGCGGUGGAAUGCGUAGAUAUCAGGAGGAAUACCGGUGGCGAAGGCGACUUACUGGACUUAAACUGACGCUCAGGCACGAAAGCGUGGGGAGCAAACAGGAUUAGAUACCCUGGUAGUCCACGCCGUAAACGAUGAGUGCUAGGUGUUGGGGGUCAAACCUCGGUGCCGCAAGCAAACGCAAUAAGCACUCCGCCUGGGGAGUACGUGCACAAGCAUGAAACUCAAAGGAAUUGACGGGGACCCGCACAAGCAGCGGAGCAUGUGGUUUAAUUCGUGGCUACGCGAAGAACCUUACCAGGGCUUGACAUAUAUAUGAGGGCGCAACCCUUGCAAUUAGUUACUAACAGAUAGUGCUGAGGACUCUAAUUGGACUGCCGAUGAUAAAUCGGAGGAAGGUGGGGAUGACGUCAAAUCAUCAUGCCCUUUAUGUCCUGGGCUACACACGUGCUACAAUGGUCGGUACAAAGAGGAGCGAAAUGGUGACAUCAAGCAAAUCUCAAAAAACCGAUCCCAGUUCGGAUUGUACUCUGCAACUCGAGUACAUGAAGUCGGAGUUGCUAGUAAUCGCGGAUCAGAAUGCCGCGGUGAAUGCGUUCCCGGGUCUUGUACACACCGCCCGUCACACCAUGGAAGUUGGCAAUACCCGAAGCCGAUGGCCUAACCGCAAGGAAGGAGUCGUCGAAGGUAGGGUCAAUGACUGGGGUGAAGUCGUAACAAGGUAGCCGUAUCGGAAGGUGCGGCUG